AGACCUGUAAGUAAACGGUAAUACUGAUGCUCUGAUACGGCAUUAUUAUUGGUUCGAUUCCAAUCGGGUCUA
RNAcentral lists this transfer RNA (72 nucleotides) under Bacteriophage sp. RNAcentral describes it as "tRNA-Ile". It matches the Rfam family "tRNA". Rfam says of the family: Transfer RNA (tRNA) molecules are approximately 80 nucleotides in length. The record is from RNAcentral.